CUCAUAGCUCAGUUGGUUAGAGCGCUACGUUGACAUCGUAGAGGUCGUUGGUUCGAAUCCAAUUGAGUCC
This 70-nucleotide transfer RNA is filed under the name Aneurinibacillus aneurinilyticus. It matches the Rfam family "tRNA". Rfam says of the family: Transfer RNA (tRNA) molecules are approximately 80 nucleotides in length. Their secondary structure includes four short double-helical elements and three loops (D, anti-codon, and T loops). The record is from RNAcentral. Lineage: Bacteria; Bacillati; Bacillota; Bacilli; Caryophanales; Paenibacillaceae.